Molecule: ribosomal RNA, 312 nt
Filed under: Illex argentinus (Argentinian squid)
Lineage: Eukaryota; Metazoa; Mollusca; Cephalopoda; Oegopsida; Ommastrephidae
Description: eukaryotic LSU rRNA
Rfam family: Eukaryotic large subunit ribosomal RNA
Source: RNAcentral
AGCCCGGGGGAUCCGCCCACCCGCUGAAUUUAAGCAUAUCGCUAAGCGGAGGAAAAGAAACCAACCGGGAUUCCCUUAGUAACGGCGAGUGAACCGGGAGAAGCCCAACGCCGAAUCCCGUCGCAAGUAAAAGGCUUCGGGACGUGUGGCGCACGGGUCGAAGGCAGCCGUUCGUUUCGUCUCGCGUAGUUCGGAGUUCCCUCGAUCGGGGCCGCCCACUCGGUGUCCAGGCCCAUUCGGUGUCGGACUGGCGUAGCGUACGGCCUUCGAUUCCAGAGUUUCGGUUGCUUGGGAAGCUCGCCCAAAGGGCUG